GGGAAUGUGGGUAGCCUUACUGACACCUGGAUGGGAUAUCUUACAAGUGGCUGCAACCUGAUUUACCUGUGAUGCUGAAGUUAUAGUUUGAAACACCCAAACCUGGGAUAUGGUAUGAGGUGAUGGUGGUACAGGAAGGCAGGAAACAGCCAAGAGUUGUCACAACAGAAAAUGGUUUCAACAUGGAGGAAAGCACUCUGCUAAAUUCAAGAGUCUGUACACAAAAAAUAUAAAAUUUCCCUCUGAUUUGUACCAACAUAUCAAAGUGAACACAAAAGUGCAUUAUUUUUAUAGCAAAUUCAUGUGAGUUGUGUUUAUGUGGAAUAUGGUGGAAAAAGCUAAGUGUUGUAGAAAAAGAAUGACAACAGUUAAACAGCAUACUGUACUCCACAAAGUGUACACCAGUUAUGGUGACAAAUACUGUACAGUUAUGUGUAACAAUCAAUAAACAUCAGGUUGUAGACACCUGUACGUGUGGGGCCCAAAGUGUGUGUGUGUGUGAGUAGCACGACUACCCACUGAUGCUGUGAACCAUCACUACGAGAAGUCAUGGUAAUUAGCAAAA
Homarus americanus (American lobster) is the source of this 565-nucleotide long non-coding RNA. RefSeq lists it as uncharacterized. The record is from RefSeq and is a predicted model, not a curated record. The transcript has 2 exons. NCBI's taxonomy places the organism in Eukaryota, Metazoa, Arthropoda, Malacostraca, Decapoda, Nephropidae.